AUUUUGGUAUCAGAGCAUGGUUUGAUCCUUUGGGCAAUAAAGUGAAACGUGAGGUUUGGGUCUAUUGGGUAUUAAACAAAACACUUUUCUUUGGGGCACUAAAAGGGAAACACGAGAGGAGUGUGAGAGGAAGAGCAAAGAUGGCAACAAAUGCUUUUUCAUCAUCUUCACAACCACUCGUAUCGAUUUUUACAGGAGAAAAGUAUGAGUUUUGGAGUAUUAAGAUGAAAACUCUUUUUAGGUCUCAAGACCUUUGGGAUCUAGUUGAAUAUGGCUUCGUGGAUUUAGAAGAUCCAGAUGAAGAGGCAGAAGAAAGACUGAAAGAAGCUAAAAGGAAGGAUGCCAAAGCUUUAUUCCUAAUUCAACAAGCUGUCCAUGAAACAAUUUUCUCAAGAAUUGCAGCAGCAACAACAUCAUUAGAGGCUUGGCAAAUUUUGAAGAAGGAGUUCCAAGGUUCUACAAAGGUAAUGACGGUAAAAUUGCAGACUUACCGCCGUGACUUUGAAACUUUGUCUAUGAAAAGCAAUGAAUCUAUUCAAACUUAUUUGUCUAGAGUUUCUUCUCUUGUUAAUCAAAUGAAGUCGUAUGGUGAGGAUAUUUCUGAAGAAACUGUUGUUGCAAAAGUUUUAAGGAGUCUUACUCCAAAGUUUGAACAUAUUGUUGCUGCUAUUGAGGAAGCCCAUGAUUUAUCAAAUUAUUCAUUUGAUGAACUAAUGAGUUCUUUGCAAGCUCAUGAAGAUAGGUUGCUCAGGUCACAAGAAAAGAACGAAGAAAAAGCUUUUCAGGUGAAGGGGGAGACGUACGAAAACGGUGCUGGACGUGGUAGUGGCAGAGGUGGUAUCCGCGGAAGAGGUCGAGGAAGAGGUGGAGGCAGAACCGGAUCUAGUGAAGAGAGGCAGAAUAAGGUCUUUAAAUGUUACUACUGUGACAAGCCAGGUCAUAGAGAGGCUAAUUGCUGGAAAAAACAGAAGGAUGAGAAAAACCAAGCAAGCUUUGCAGAGGAACCAGAUGAAGAAAGUAAGCUGUUUAUGGCCCUUUUUUGUGAGAAGGAGCAAUCUAACGAUGUUUGGUUUUUGGACAGCGGUUGUUCUAAUCACAUGUGUGGAACAAAGUCAUUAUUUAAGGAGCUCGAUGAGUCUGAUAAAACAGAUGUGAUGCUAGGAGACAGCAAGAAGAUUCGAGUUGAAGGCAGAGGUACCAUUAGCAUUAAAACUAGUCAAGGUAGUGCUAAGAUUUUACAAGAUGUGAUGUUUGUUCCUGGUUUAUCUCAUAAUCUUCUUAGCAUUGGGCAAUUAAUGAUUAGUGGAUAUUCAAUUUUGUUUGAUGAUGGUUUUUGCAUUAUUAAAGAUAAAAAAUCAGGGCAAAUCACUGCUAAAGUUCCAAUGGCUAAAAAUAAAAUGUUUCCACUGGAAGUUUCAAUGAUUGAGAAUUAUGCUAUGGUUGCUAAUGUUGAUAGUGAGACUCAAUUGUGGCAUUUACGUUAUGGGCACUUAAAUAUUAAUGGGUUAAAGCUGUUGAGUGAAAAAGAAAUGGUUUUUGGCUUGCCCAAACUUGAGAGUCUUGUUUUUUGUGAAGGAUGUGUUUAUGGAAAACAAAGUAGAAAGUCUUUUCCUGUUGGAAAGGCUUGGAGAGCCUCUAAGUGUCUUGAGUUAGUGCAUGCAGAUUUGUGUGGGCCUAUGAAUAUAGAGUCUCUUGGUGGUAGUCGAUAUUUUUUAUUGUUUACAGAUGAUUGCAGCUGUAUGAGUUGGGUUUAUUUUCUAGAAAACAAGUCUGAAGUUUUUGAUAGAUUUAAGAAGUUCAAAGCAGUUGUGGAAAGAGCCAGUGGUUUGUUAAUAAAGACAUUGCGAACAGACAGAGGAGGUGAAUUUGUUUCAGCUGAGUUUAAUGUUUUUUGUGAGGAAAAUGGGAUUUGCAGGGAACUUACAGCACCAUACACACCAGAGCAGAACGGUGUAGCUGAAAGAAAGAACUGAAUUGUGGUAGAGAUGGCCAGAAGCAUGAUUCAAGCAAAAGGCCUUCCUAUUUAUUUUUGGGCAGAAGCUUUCGCAACAGCAGUGUACCUUCUCAAUUUGUCUCCUACAAAAGCUGUUCGUAAUCAAACACCCUUUGAGGCUUGGACAGGUAGAAAACCAACGGUAAGCCACUUAAAGGUUUUUGGUUGUAUAGCUUAUGCUUUGGUCAAAACUUACUCUAGAAAAUUUGAUGAAAGGUCUGAGAAAUAUAUUUUUGUUGGCUAUUCUUCUCAAUCCAAAGCAUUUAAGCUUUAUAAUCCUAUUAGUGGCAAGCUAACCAUCAGCAGGGAUGUAGUUUUUAAUGAAGAUGCAACAUGGAUUUGGAAUGAAGAAAAUAAGGAGGGGCAUAUACAAGUGUUAGAAGAUAAUAUUGAACCACCAUUGAAUCCAACACCAGCAAUUUCCAGCCUUGAUACUGUUGGAAGUAGCAAUCCAUCUGUCCCUACAAGCAAUGAAUCAUCAUCUUCAAGUUCAUCAAGUGAAACUCCUCCAAGGAAGUGCAAAUCCUUGCAGGAAAUUUAUGCUUCUUGUACUUUUGCUUUGCUUGUUUCAGAUCCUAUUUGCUUUGAAGAAGCUGUAAAAGAGAAAGAAUGGUGCAAAGCUACGGAAGAGGAGCUGUUGGCUAUCCAGAAAAAUCAGACUUGGGAUUUGGUAGACUUACCAGAAGGAAAGAAUGUUAUUGGGCUCAAAUGGGUGUUCAAAACCAAGUAUCAUGCAGAUGGGAGCAUUCAAAAACACAAGGCGAGGCUGGUUGUAAAGGGUUAUUCUCAACAACAAGAUGUCGACUUCUAUGAAACAUUUUCUCCAGUUGCACGCUUUGAAACAGUGAGAACCUUUUUAGCCUUAGCUGCUCAAUUAAAUUGGCCAAUAUACCAAUUUGAUGUUAAAUCUGCUUUUUUGAAUGGUGACUUGGAGGAAGAAGUUUAUGUCUUACAACCUGAAGGUUUUGUAGCUAAUGGCAAUGAAGAUAAAGUGUACAGGUUAAAAAAGGCGCUUUAUGGCUUAAAGCAAGCACCACGAGCAUGGUACUUCAAAAUUGAUUCCUAUUUUCAGGAGAGUGGAUUUAAAAGAAGUGAAAAUGAGCCAACACUUUAUUUGAAGGAAAAUGGUAAAGAUGAGUUUUUGGUGGUAUGUCUUUAUGUUGAUGAUAUGAUCUAUAUGGGUUCUAAUGAGUUGAUUAUUGCUGAGUUUAAAUCUUACAUGAUGAAGAAAUUUGAAAUGACAGACUUAGGUUUAUUGCAUUAUUUUCUUGGUCUUGAAGUGAAACAAGUUUUUGAUGGGAUCUUUAUUUCACAAAGAAAAUAUGCAAUGGAUCUUUUAAAAAAAUUCAAUAUGUUGAACUGCAAAGUAGAAGCUACACCCAUGAAUGUCAAUGAAAAGUUGAGUCGAGAUGAUAAUGCUGAAUUUGUGAAUGCACCAUAUUUUAGGAGUCUUGUUGGAGGUUUGAACUAUUUGUGUCAUACUAGACCAGAUAUUGCUUUCUCGGUUGGAGUUGUGUCCCGGUUUAUGCACAAUCCAAGCAAGCUGCAUCUUGGAGCUGCAAAGAGAAUUUUGAGAUAUGUAGCAGGAACUGCAGAGUUGGGAAUUUGGUACUCCAAGGUAUCAAAUUUUAGACUGACAGGUUACACUGACAGUGAUCAUGCAGGUUGUAUGGAUGAUAGAAAAAGCACAUCUGGUUUUCUGUUCAAUCUUGGGUCAGGUGCAAUUUCAUGGAGUUCAAAGAAGCAAGAAGUGGUAGCUUUAUCAUCAUCAGAGGCAGAAUAUAUUUCUGCAACAGCAUCAGCUAGUCAAGCAGUUUGGCUAAGGAGACUUCUUGCAGAUUUCAAUCAGAAGCAAGUUGGAGCUACAGAGAUCUUUUGUGAUAGCAUGUCAGCUAUUGCAAUGACGAAGAAUCAAGCCUAUCAUAGCAGAACAAAACACAUCGACAUUCGUUAUCACUUCAUUAGGAAUCUUGUUACCAGUGAAGACAUUGUGUUGAAGUUUUGCAAUACAAAAGAACAAGUUGCUGAUAUACUGACAAAGGCACUUCCACUGGAAAAACAUGAGAACUUCAGAAAACAUAUGGGAGUUUGUAACUUUGAAUCAAGGGGGAGUGUUAAAAUCUGAUUCAAAGUUUGACCGAGUAUUUCUGUGAUUUGUUAGUUUGUUUCCUUUAUUUAAGCAAGUUUCUUACUGUUGAGAAUAAAUAGCAGUCGUGGGAUUUGAUGCCCAGAUUUUUUGCUUUAUUUGUUUUAUUAAAGCCUAUAAAUAAAGGCACUUCUUGCUUGUUUUCUAGGCAGCAUUAAAUGAAAUAAAGUCUUCUAGUCUUUAUGUGCUCUGUUUAUCUCUGUUUUUAUUCACUUUUUCCAACAGUAUGAAGCGCUUUGCAUUA
This 4383-nucleotide unclassified non-coding RNA is filed under the name Hevea brasiliensis (rubber tree). Lineage: Eukaryota; Viridiplantae; Streptophyta; Magnoliopsida; Malpighiales; Euphorbiaceae. The record is from RNAcentral.